This 263-nucleotide ribosomal RNA is filed under the name Gilliamella apis. RNAcentral's name for it is "partial 16S ribosomal RNA". It matches the Rfam family "Bacterial small subunit ribosomal RNA", at positions 1 to 262 of the family's 1533-position model. Lineage: Bacteria; Pseudomonadati; Pseudomonadota; Gammaproteobacteria; Orbales; Orbaceae. The record is from RNAcentral.
UUAAAUUGAAGAGUUUGAUCAUGGCUCAGAUUGAACGCUGGCGGCAGGCUUAACACAUGCAAGUCGAACGGUAACAUGAGUGCUUGCACUUGAUGACGAGUGGCGGACGGGUGAGUAAUGUAUGGGGAUCUGCCGAAUGGAGGGGGACAACAGUUGGAAACGACUGCUAAUACCGCAUAAUGUUGAGAAACCAAAGCAUGGGACCUUCGGGCCAUGCGCCAUUUGAUGAACCCAUAUGGGAUUAGCUAGUUGGUAGGGUAAAG